Molecule: ribosomal RNA, 1364 nt
Filed under: uncultured bacterium
Lineage: Bacteria
Description: bacterial SSU rRNA
Rfam family: Bacterial small subunit ribosomal RNA
Source: RNAcentral
GACGAACGCUGGCGGCAGGCCUAACACAUGCAAGUCGAACGGUAACAGGAAGAAGCUUGCUUCUUUGCUGACGAGUGGCGGACGGGUGAGUAAUGUCUGGGAAACUGCCUGAUGGAGGGGGAUAACUACUGGAAACGGUAGCUAAUACCGCAUAACGUCGCAAGACCAAAGAGGGGGACCUUCGGGCCUCUUGCCAUCGGAUGUGCCCAGAUGGGAUUAGCUAGUAGGUGGGGUAACGGCUCACCUAGGCGACGAUCCCUAGCUGGUCUGAGAGGAUGACCAGCCACACUGGAACUGAGACACGGUCCAGACUCCUACGGGAGGCAGCAGUGGGGAAUAUUGCACAAUGGGCGCAAGCCUGAUGCAGCCAUGCCGCGUGUAUGAAGAAGGCCUUCGGGUUGUAAAGUACUUUCAGCGGGGAGGAAGGGAGUAAAGUUAAUACCUUUGCUCAUUGACGUUACCCGCAGAAGAAGCACCGGCUAACUCCGUGCCAGCAGCCGCGGUAAUACGGAGGGUGCAAGCGUUAAUCGGAAUUACUGGGCGUAAAGCGCACGCAGGCGGUUUGUUAAGUCAGAUGUGAAAUCCCCGGGCUCAACCUGGGAACUGCAUCUGAUACUGGCAAGCUUGAGUCUCGUAGAGGGGGGUAGAAUUCCAGGUGUAGCGGUGAAAUGCGUAGAGAUCUGGAGGAAUACCGGUGGCGAAGGCGGCCCCCUGGACGAAGACUGACGCUCAGGUGCGAAAGCGUGGGGAGCAAACAGGAUUAGAUACCCUGGUAGUCCACGCCGUAAACGAUGUCGACUUGGAGGUUGUGCCCUUGAGGCGUGGCUUCCGGAGCUAACGCGUUAAGUCGACCGCCUGGGGAGUACGGCCGCAAGGUUAAAACUCAAAUGAAUUGACGGGGGCCCGCACAAGCGGCGGAGCAUGCGGAUUAAUUCGAUGCAACGCGAAGAACCUUACCAAGGCUUGACAUGCACGGCGGCACUGCAGAGAUGUGGUGGCAUUUAGUUGGUCGUGUGCAGGUGGUGCAUGGUUGUCGUCAGCUCGUGUCGUGAGAUGUUGGGUUAAGUCCCGCAACGAGCGCAACCCUUGCCCUAUGUUGCCAGCACGUGAUGGUGGGGACUCGUGGGGGACUGCCGGGGUUAACUCGGAGGAAGGUGGGGAAGACGUCAAAUCAUCAUGCCCCUUAUGUCUUGGGCUUCACGCAUGCUACAAUGGCUGGUACAGAGGGUUGCGAUACUGUGAGGUGGAGCGAAUCCCUUAAAGCCAGUCUCAGUUCGGAUUGGGGUCUGCAACUCGACCUCAUGAAAUCGGAGUCGCUAGUAAUCGCAGAUCAGCAACGCUGCGGUGAAUACGUUCCCGGGGCU